UAACCCUGACGCAGCCAUGCCGCGUGAAUGAAGAAGGCCUUCGGGUUGUAAAGUUCUUUCGGUGAUGAGGAAGGUUGUUAUGUAAAUAGCAUGACAAAUUGACGUUAUUCACAGAAGAAGCACCGGCUAACUCCGUGCCAGCAGCCGCGGUAAUACGGAGGGUGCGAGCGUUAAUCGGAAUAACUGGGCGUAAAGGGCACGCAGGCGGUUGAUUAAGUGAGGUGUGAAAUCCCUUGGGCUUAACCUAGGAAUUGCAUUUCAGACUGGUCGGCUUGAGUACUUUAGGGAGGGGUAGAAUUCCACCGUGUAGCGGUGAAAUGCCGUAGAGAUGUGGAGGAAUACCGAAGGCGAAGGCAGCCCCUUGGGAAUGUACUGACGCUCAUGUGCGAAAGCGUGGGGAGCAAACAGGC
RNAcentral lists this ribosomal RNA (410 nucleotides) under Haemophilus sp. cp03.04. RNAcentral's name for it is "bacterial SSU rRNA". It matches the Rfam family "Bacterial small subunit ribosomal RNA", at positions 378 to 777 of the family's 1533-position model. The record is from RNAcentral. Lineage: Bacteria; Pseudomonadati; Pseudomonadota; Gammaproteobacteria; Pasteurellales; Pasteurellaceae.